This is a long non-coding RNA of Triticum dicoccoides, 3444 nucleotides long. RefSeq lists it as uncharacterized. The transcript is spliced from 10 exons. NCBI's taxonomy places the organism in Eukaryota, Viridiplantae, Streptophyta, Magnoliopsida, Poales, Poaceae. The record is from RefSeq and is a predicted model, not a curated record.
ACCCCCAGCCCACCAACUCCACUUUCCUUCUAUAUCCGCCGCCACGCCACGCCACGCACGCCACCUCGACGAAGCCGUGUCCGGCAAGGACAAGCCUCCGGCUGCCGCAACCGCCUCUGCCCUGGCUAUAAAGGCACGCCCUUUGGCCGUCCGCUCCUCCUCUCUUCGCCCAGGCCAUGCCUCUCGCCUCGAUUCGUCCUCGACUCCUGCCUCUCCUCCUCCCGCGUCUGGUUUCAUCUUGCUCCUCAUCGCUCGACUCGUCCGUUUAGACUGGAAAGAAUUGCUCGUCCUCGAUUCGUCUGUUUUGAAGCGCGUCUAAUUUGAUUGACUUUGCUCGUCCUCGGUUCAUCUGUUUAGAUAGAAAUCGCGUCUGGUUUCAUUUUGCUCGUCCUUGCUGUCGCCCGUUUAGCAUCGCUUCCGAGUUGAUUUUACUCGUCCUCGCCGUCGCCAGUUUAGAGUCGCGUGUGCUCGUCCUCGCCGCCGCCCGUUUAGAAUCGCUUCCGAAUUGAUUUUGCUCGUCCUCGCCGUCGUCAGUUUAGAGUUGCGUGUGAUUUGAUUCUGCUCGUCCACCCCGUCGUCCGUUUAGAUCAGAAUCGCGUCUGUUUUGAUUUUCUUGUCCUCGCUGUCGGCAAUUUAGAUAGAAUCCGCGUCUUGAUUUGAUUCUGCUCGAUCUCAUCCUAGUCCAUUUGGAAUCGCGACUGAUUUGAUUCUGCUCGAUCCCCUGUGUUGCUGCUGGGUUCUUUGCACUGAUGCUCUCGCGUGUUCUUCGUGCCGUCUCAUCGGGGGUAUCCGUGGAGGAAGCGAGCGGUCAGUCGGUCGGUCGGUUUGGGUCGUUUGGUUUGCGAACUAACAAGUCUGUUUGUGAAACUUCUGCGUGCGCUUCUGUUUUCUGAGAGACGCUCACGUUCCUGUGUUUCGUGUUCGGGUCGGGCCCUUGUUCGCGUCUGCUUUUGAAAUUGGAACUGCUGUUUAUCGUGCUCGUUCAGAUCGGUUCCUCUGUUCCGUUACCUGCGCUGUUCGUCAGUUACAUUCAUAUGUCAAACGCAUGCACCCUUUGAUACUGCUUGAUGGAUGUUCAGAUCUCAAAUGCUGCGUUGUUCAGAUCGGUUAUUUUGAUUGAAAUUGGGUUGUUGGCCCUCUGUCGAUUCUUAUUCUACUUGAUGGAUGUUCAGGGUGUUACUAUGUUGUUUUCAAUUGCUUACUUGUCAUGCUUUGCUCAUGUUCCCAUAUAUGGUGAUGUGUAUUCAGGGGUGCAAACCAUUUAGGUAGAAAGUUUUACAAGAGUGCAAACCAUGUGGCCUUCCUUUCUUCCUCAUGUUGCUAUUUCCAUUUAACUGCUCAUCAUACGAGUACUAGAUGAGGUGCUGCUAGUUAGUCCCCCUUAGACAUUGUUCUAGAUAAAAGAGCAUAACUCCAGAAUUUUGUCAUUACACACCUGGGCAUAUAAUUCUGCUGUGAGCAUAACUCCAGAAUUUAUUUAUCUGUGAAAGCUUGUUCAUCACAUGUUUUUUGUCAAUGCUGCUAACUUUAUAGCUUUCUGAAAUUACUUCGGUCUUGCAUGUAUGCUUUCUGUUUGUGCCCCUAUCUAAGUCUGUUUCUUGUGUGCAAGCGCUCCAUUAUGUGUGUGUCACUGUGUGUGGCUUGAUGGUGAAUAUGUGUGGCUUGACUCUGUGUGUGUGUGUGUGGCUUGAUGGUGAAUAUGUGUGGCUUGACUCUGUGUGUGUGUGUGUGGCUUGACUGUGUGUGGCUUGAUGGUGAAUUUGUGUGUGGCUUGACUGUGUGUGUGACUCUGUGAAUAUUGCAUUUGCUUGAUGGUGUGGCUUGUAUCCUUUGUUGAAUGAUUGGUUUGUAUAACUUGUGUUUUAUAUUGUUGUGGCACGAUUGAUUGCUGUUUGUUGAAUGCGAACUCGUAUCUUGACGAAUAAUCAUGUAUGCUAACUUGUAUUGGUAGUUCCUGAUCACCUAUUACUUGUUUAGUGUAGACUGACUAUUCUUUUUUCUGAACUUUUUUGUGAUUAUGUCUUCACAUUGCACUGCUCGAUCCAUAUCGACAUCCCACGCUGUCUGAUGAGGAUAAAGAUGUUAUGAGAAAAAUAGGGUGCCCCAACCAAGAUUGACUUCCUCUCUCUUUCUUAUACAAGGCAUGCAGAAGAUGUGUGGCAAGCAUGGGAGUUCCUCUCAAAGUUAGGUGAUCUUAGCCAAACUCUGAUUUUGCCAAAAUUGAGAAUGUGGAGGUAAUUUCAAGAUAUUCCUUCAACAUUCCUGAGCAACUUGAAUUUGUUUACCACCUAUUGACUCCUUAUUCCUUGCUUGAACCAUUUUGAUGAGAUCCUGGAAGAAGCAGAUGGUAUAAUUCUGUCAAGAGGAAACUUUGGAAUUGAUCUUCCACCUGAAAAGGUGUUCUUAUUUCAGAAGUCUGCUCUGCACAAGUGCAACAUGGCUGGAAAGCCUGCUGUUGUUACUCAUGUUGUGGACAGUAUGCCGGACAACCUAAGGCCUGCUCGCGCGGAGGCAACUGAUGUGGCAAACGCGGUGCUGGACGGUUAGUUUUUGCCUCUUGCAGAUAUCUUAUACUUUGGUGAUCCUGUAAGUUUUUGCCUCUUGCAGAAUCCAAUGAAAGUUCUGAUUCCGAAAGCUCUGACUCCGAGAAGCCAGCUACCGAAGUGAAGAAUUCUGCGGGUUGCUACUGCACAAAAGAAAAACCUGGAAUUGGACGGCUCUGACAGCGAUUCUGAUGAUUCAUCAGAUGAGGAUAUGGCCACUAAAGAACCAGUAGCCAAGAAAGUGGUAGAAUCCAGUGAAAGUUCUGAUUCUGACUCUGAGGAGGAUACCACUGCUAAACCAGUUAAGAAAAAUAAAGAAUCUAGUGAUAGCUCAGAUUCUGACUCAGAUUCAGAUUCUGAAGAAGAUACCACUGCUAAAACAGUUUCUGUAUAGAAAGAAGAAUCUAGUGGUAGCUCAGAUAAUGACUCGGAUUCCGAUUCUGAUGAACCAGCAAAAUCUACUAUUCCUGCUAAGAGGCUUCUGACAACAGAGAAAAAGAGUGAACAUUCCAAGGAUGAUUCUGAUGAUAGUUCUGAUGAGAGUGAUGAAGAGCCUGCACUAAAGAAGCCUAAGGAAUUUUUGGUGUUUGCUUUUUCAUCUAAAGAUUUUGGUCUCUAAGGUUGCCAAGAAAGAAAUCAGUGGUGAUGAUGACAAUUCUGAAGAGAGCUCAAGAAGUGAUGAUGAAAAUGAUCAAUCGGUGUCAAUGUGAAAGUCCAAGCAGAACGAAGUAUGGUUUGAGUAUAUUUAUGCUGUUGUAAUUUUUCCACUUAUGUUUGAUGGUAAUCAGCCUCUAACCAGCUUCCUAAUUUCGGGAACGAAGAUCUGAAUCACCCUCACCCCUCUAGAGAAAUCAGUUUACUCAUUCAAGUUCUGGAAAUUCCUUAUAGCUUUCUGAGUUUA